RNAcentral lists this long non-coding RNA (1100 nucleotides) under Cyanistes caeruleus (blue tit). Its description in RNAcentral is "lncRNA (ENSCCEG00000009532.1)". The record is from RNAcentral. Lineage: Eukaryota; Metazoa; Chordata; Aves; Passeriformes; Paridae.
CCACAGCCCAAUUCCCAAGUGGAAUUCCCACAAUUCCAGAGCAGGAUUCCCGCUAUUCCCGUUGUUAUUCCCGUUAUUCCCGUUGUUAUUCCCAUUGUUAUUCCCGUUGUUAUUCCCAUUAUUCCCGUUGUUAUUCCUAUGUGGGAUUCCUGUUAUUCCCGUUGUUAUUUCUGUUGUUGUUAUUCCCGUUGUUACUCCCAUUGUUAUUCCUGUUGUUAUUCCCAUUGUUAUUCCCGUUGUUAUUCCCAUUAUUCCUGCUGUUGUUAUUCCCACUGUUGCUAUUCCCGCUGUUAUUCCCGUUGUUCCCAUUAUUCCCACUGUUAUUCCCAUUGUUAUUCCCGCUGUUGCUAUUCCCGCUGUUAUUCUCAUUAUUCCUAUUGUUAUUCCCGUUGUUAUUCCCACUGUUAUUCCUGUUGUUAUUCCUGCUGUUUUUCCCCUUGUUAUUCCCAUUAUUGUUAUUCCCGUUAUUGUUAUUCCUGCUGUUGUUAUUCCUGCUGUUAUUCCUGUUGUUCCCAUUAUUCCCGCUGUUAUCCCCACUGCUGUUCCCAUUGUUAUUCCCAUUGUUGUUAUUCCCAUUGCUGUUAUUCCUGUUGUUAUUCCCGCUGUUGUUAUUCCCAUUGUUGUUACUCCCGCUGUUAUUCCCAUUGUUAUUCCCGCUGUUGUUGUUCCCGCUGUUCAUUCCUAUUAUUCCCGUUGUUAUUCCCAUUAUUCCUGUUGUUUUUAUUCCCACUGUUAUUCCCGCUGUUGUUAUUCCCGUUGUUGUUGUUCCCGUUGUUGUUAUUCCCGCUGUUGUUGUUCCCGUUGUUGUUGUUCCCGUUGUUGUUAUUCCCGCUGUUGUUAUUCCCGCUGUUGCUAUUCCCGCUGUUGUUAUUCCCGCUGUUGUUAUUCCCGCUGUUAUUCCCGUUGUUGUUAUUCCCGCUGUUAUUCCCGCUGUUGUUGUUUCCGGUACCUCGUCCUCGCGCUCGAACAGGAGGAAGGCGAAGCUCUCGCGCAGCUCCUCGGGGCUGUACCCGGCCGCCGCCUUGGCGCGGGCAAAGGCUCGCAGCUGGAAAAUCCCCGGGAUCCCAGAUCACCACGGAUCCCCACGGAUCCCAAAUCAC